Molecule: long non-coding RNA, 433 nt
Organism: Phyllostomus discolor (pale spear-nosed bat)
Lineage: Eukaryota; Metazoa; Chordata; Mammalia; Chiroptera; Phyllostomidae
Exons: 3
Source: RefSeq, a predicted model, not a curated record
UCCCAGAAGUGGGAUUGCUGGGUCAAAAGGUAGCUCCAUUUUCAGUUUUUUAUAGGAUAUUCCAUGUUGUUUUCUGCAGUGGUUGCACCUGUCUGCCAUCUCACCAACCAUGUACUAGGGUUCCCUUUUCUCCACAUGUUUUCCAACACUUGUUUGCUGUGUUGAUUUAUGAUGGCAUUCUGACUGGCAUGAAGUGGUAUUUCAUUGUGGUUUUAAUUUUCAUCUCUCUGAUAGCUAGUGAUGCUAAGCAUCCUUUCAUAUGUCUCUGGGCCCUCUGUAUGUCUUCCUUGGAGAAGUAUCUGUUCAGGUCCUUUGCCCAUUUUGCGGGGGCUGUUUGUCUUCUUGCACUCAUAUGAGCUCUUUAGACAUGUUAGAGAUCAAACCCUUGUCUGAGGUAUCAUUUGCAAAUAUAUUUUCCCAUAUGGUUGGUUUC